This is a non-coding RNA of Triticum aestivum (bread wheat), 125 nucleotides long. NCBI's taxonomy places the organism in Eukaryota, Viridiplantae, Streptophyta, Magnoliopsida, Poales, Poaceae. The record is from Rfam.
UUACUACUCCCUCCGUCCGGAAAUACUUGUCGAAAAAAUGCGUAUAAAUGAAUGUAUCUAGAACUAAAAUACAUCUAGAUACAUCCAUUCUUCCGACGAGUAUUUUCGGACGGAGGGAGUAUAUC